AACACCUCAACUUCCAUAUCUUUUUUGAAAUGGGAGUUGGACUUGAGUGAUCCCAACGCUUUUCCUCACCGAAAAGUGGCGGGUUACUUGAAAUGCAGGUGCAGCUGGACUUUUCUCUGAGCUAUAAGCAUAUCUAUUUAGUCUGCCUAAAAAACAGAUUAUUACCUUUGCUGCAGCUAACAUAAAGGAGAUUAGUUCUUGUGCUGACUGAUGCAGGAUUCACAAAGACAGGCUUCGGCCGACUUUGUAA
This 250-nucleotide unclassified non-coding RNA is filed under the name Mortierella alpina. Its description in RNAcentral is "partial internal transcribed spacer 2". Lineage: Eukaryota; Fungi; Mortierellomycota; Mortierellomycetes; Mortierellales; Mortierellaceae. The record is from RNAcentral. RNAcentral also lists the same sequence under 1 other name.